UACGUAGGGUGCGAGCGUUGUCCGGAUUUAUUGGGUUUAAAGGGUGCGUAGGCGGCCAGAUAAGUCAGUGUUAAAAUUUUGCAGCUCAACUGUAGGUAUGGCAUUGAUACUGUUUGGCUUGAAUGUCAUGGAGGUAGCUGGAAUUUAUGGUGUAGCGGUGAAAUGCAUAGAUACCAUAAGGAACACCGAUAGCGGAGGCAUGUUACCACGUGAUAAUUGACGCUGAGGCACGAAAGUGUGGGGAUCAAACAGG
This 253-nucleotide ribosomal RNA is filed under the name uncultured bacterium. RNAcentral describes it as "partial 16S ribosomal RNA". It matches the Rfam family "Bacterial small subunit ribosomal RNA", at positions 524 to 776 of the family's 1533-position model. The record is from RNAcentral.